Molecule: long non-coding RNA, 11608 nt
Filed under: Citrus sinensis (sweet orange)
Lineage: Eukaryota; Viridiplantae; Streptophyta; Magnoliopsida; Sapindales; Rutaceae
Description: long non-coding RNA (CSIN_LNC000545)
Source: RNAcentral
GAGAACAGCGGUAGCUCCUAGGAGGGUAUCAGCUCCGGCGUACUUGCAAGACUUGCAAUAAACGACGCCUUGAACUUCAACAAGGCUCCUAGGGAAACGAUGGGUGGGUGUGGGUGGGUGAGCAGGAGCAACGUGCGGUGGAGGUGGGUGAGCAGGAGCAACGUGUGGUGGAGGUGGGUGAGCAGGAGCAACGUGUGGUGGAGGUGGGUGGGCAGGAGCAACGUGUGAAGGUGGGUGAGCAGGUGCAUGAGCGGGAGUGUGAGCCGGUGCAUGAGCCGGCGGGUGGGGGUGGUGGUGAUGAUGGUGGUGGCUUGGGGCGUGAGCCGGUGGGGCAGUAGGAGGGUGGCUGUGGUGGUGGUGGUGGUGGUGAUGGUGGGGGCUUGGUGCCGUUGCCGGGGUUACCGAGUGGUAGUGUGAUGGUGGCAUAGCCAUGGAACUCUCAGUGUAAACCUGUUCACCAUACACAGUGAAGCUGCAGCCGGCUAAGACCAAACAAACAUGAACAACAAUCAGUAAAGCUUUACCCAUUUUGUUUUGUUUUUUUUUUUCAGUCUUCUUUUAUCUCUAGUAAAGAAGAUGGCCAGCCAACUAGGGGGAGGGUGAGAGAGUGAGAGAGAUCGAGAGAGGUGGUGAAAACGAUCUCCGAUUGGGGGAAUUUAUAGGGGUUUUAACCCGUGAUUCUCUGCGGUUUUUUGUGAUAAAAUUUUUAUUUUAUAAUAUGGUGGUGGGGCUAUUAUUAUGCAUUAUGCUGUGAGGUGGACACAAACAUAAUGCAAAAGAAGAGAGAUAAUGAGAUAAUGCAAGAUUGAUUCGUUAAUUUGUUUUAGCGUUUGGUUGAGGCCCAAAUAAAAUUUGUUGAAUUUUUUUUUUAAUUUUAAAUCUAAUAUUAAAGUCUAAUGAUAUUCAUAAUACUGAUAUUCAAUGUCAAAUGUGUAGACAACUUCUAACAUCUCAAAUUGACUCCCAUAAUGUGUGUGUAUAUUAUUCAAGGAGACUUAAAAGGUCAUUCCACAUGUGUUGUGUGUAGAAAAAGAGUGACUAAUGAGUAGGGAUGGUAAAUUAAUCCGGACCAGGAUUGGACCCGGAUAAUCCGGUCCGGGUUUAACCCGUACCGGAAGGUAAUACAAUGCGGAUCCGAAAAGGAUAUUUUGAACCCGGAUAUAUUCCGGUCCGGAUCCGGUUUAUCUUAACCCGGAUGUCCGAAACCCGGACCCGAAUAAUUUAAUUAUAAAAGAAAAAAAAAAACCUAAUGCCUUAAGUCUUAACCUACUGCAGCCGCUUCUUUCUUCUCCAAUUUCUCUUUCUUUCUCCUCCAUCUUCUCUUUUCAUUAAAACAAACCCACUGCAGCUGCUUUCUUUCUUCUCCAAUUUCUCUUUCAUUCACUCAAAUGACUUGGAAAAAUCUUUGUAUUGAAAGGAAGACAAAGAGGAAUGCACCCAUUAAGGCUUAUACUCAUUUUUUGUCACUCUUGCUGGUUUUUGACAGCUACUUUCCGCCACUCUUGCUGAUUUUUUGUCACCAGAAAUUGCCGAAUCUCCACAGCAACUUUUUGACGAUGCUCUCCUCGACGCCGACGACAACACCAAUGCCACCAAAAAUCUGAAAACUCAGCAAUCCUCCCUCAACAUUCAUUUAGCUAUGGUUUCAGGAUUUUGGUGAUUUGAGAUUUGGAGAUUUGAGGAAGUAACAUCAAGAGAAAAAAAAAAAUUGUAAUAGAUAUGCGGGUUUAGAACCUGCAAUCCAAAAAUUUGACUUUUUCUGGGUUCAAUCCGAUUCGGACCUACAAUAAAAAUAUCCAGAUUAUAUCCAGAUCCGGUAUAACAAAAUUAUCAUUCGGAUUCAGAAUCGAAAAGACUGGACUCGAACCCGGAUCCAGAUUUUGCCAUCCCUAAUAAUGAGUGGGUUCCAUACGUUAUUUUACUUACUAGGGAAAAAUUAUACCGGUGGAGGAUUUUAAAAGGAUAAUUAGGAAUACAAGGUGAUUAAAUCCCAAGAGAUCGUUGUAAACAAGUGGCUCAGAGAUUCACAUGCAGAGGUGAGACCGUGCGAGUGGGCUCCGGAAUUUUGGCACAUGUAGCGAGGCAAUGUAGAAGUUUCCGAUGUUUCUUUGGUUACUGAACCUCUCGUCUUUAUUUUUUUAAAAUUAAAUUAAAUAGUACGUUGAUUCUUUGGUUUGGGAAAUUAAUGAUAUUUACUAAAACUCUUGGUAAAUGGUAAAUAAGAUGAAUGAUUGGUAUGGGCCCAACCAAAAAGUAAUGGCAAGUGAUAAAAUUUCGAGCUCUUUGUGGAUAAAGAAAGAAUAUUGUACGUUACAAUAAUUUUUGACGUUGAAGUUCCUGUGUUUCACAAGAAAAGUGAAAAUAAAAUAAAGCAACCUUAAUUUCCUCCGUUAUUAAAAAUAUUAUAAUAUUUUAAAAAUAUAUUAAUUAUUUAUUUUAAAUUAAUAAAAUAUAUUUAUUAUCUAUUAAAUUAUUAAUUAACGUUGAAAGAUAAUGACAUUAGAAGGGUAAUUUAAUAUUUUCACACGAUAUAAAAAAUAAUAAAAGAAUUUAAGAAUAUAAAAAUGAUAAUUUAAAAGUACGUAAGUGAUAAUAAGAUAAUUUAAGAGUAUAUAAAUAAUAAUUUUUUUAUUUUAAUUUAAAUUUCAAAAAUAAAAUAUCAAUUCGCUGUAUUAACUUUCAGAUGGUAACUAAUGAUUUAGUUAUUAGUAUAUAUAUUUUGUCAACUUAAAAUGAACGAUUAAUAUUAUUUUUUACAACAAAACAAAUAUAAGGUAUAAAAUGAUAAUUUCCCUAACAUAAAUAAAGAAAUGAAACACUAUUUUCGCUUUUGCCACUUUCGUUUUCGGUUUCGAAUUAUCGUCGGAGUCUAGAAACUAGGUUGUGUAUUUAUUAUAUGUGCUCUGUUUUUAUUUGUUUAUCUUUUCUCUGUUCUGACACCUUAGAAAACUUAAUCAGAAAACGACAUGGCAAGGAGAAAAGAAAAUAUUAUACUAGGGUUAUUGAUAUUAAAUCAGAGCUAGAAUUAGCCUUAGGGUUCCUUCUUUUAAACCCUAAAAAUUGAAAACUCAAGUUUAUUAUUUAUCGUAAUAUAAUUAAAUUCCGACAAAGUUAAAUAAUGGGUUCAUUUGAUGGGUAAGUCGUGUAAAAUUUAUCAAUCGUUUUUCGCGUAAAAUUAAUAGUAGAAAUUUCCAAAUCUAAGCGAAUGUCAAAUUUGGUCCAACGCAUGAAAUAAAUUAAAACUCUGGAGAUGAUAACUUUCUAGAUAAUGUAAUUGAGCUUUUUAUAUAUGGAACUGCAAAUGUAAUUCCUCUGUCCCGCAUUUCGGUCCUUUUAUAGAAGGUUAGAUAUUAUAUUUUGAUGAACUAUUAUUUGAACUAAUUAAAUAAUGAUCGCUCCUUGCACAUAUCCACUGGGAUGCGUUUCAAGAGACAGAAUGAUAUCUGCUGUACCGUACAUCCGCCUUGGCCGUACAGCAGAUUAAUAAAAUAUAUUUAUUAUCUAUUAAAUUAUUAAUUAACGUUGAAAGAUAAUGACAUUAGAAGGGUAAUUUAAUAUUUUCACACGAUAUAAAAAAUAAUAAAAGAAUUUAAGAAUAUAAAAAUGAUAAUUUAAAAGUACGUAAGUGAUAAUAAGAUAAUUUAAGAGUAUAUAAAUAAUAAUUUUUUUAUUUUAAUUUAAAUUUCAAAAAUAAAAUAUCAAUUCGCUGUAUUAACUUUCAGAUGGUAACUAAUGAUUUAGUUAUUAGUAUAUAUAUUUUGUCAACUUAAAAUGAACGAUUAAUAUUAUUUUUUACAACAAAACAAAUAUAAGGUAUAAAAUGAUAAUUUCCCUAACAUAAAUAAAGAAAUGAAACACUAUUUUCGCUUUUGCCACUUUCGUUUUCGGUUUCGAAUUAUCGUCGGAGUCUAGAAACUAGGUUGUGUAUUUAUUAUAUGUGCUCUGUUUUUAUUUGUUUAUCUUUUCUCUGUUCUGACACCUUAGAAAACUUAAUCAGAAAACGACAUGGCAAGGAGAAAAGAAAAUAUUAUACUAGGGUUAUUGAUAUUAAAUCAGAGCUAGAAUUAGCCUUAGGGUUCCUUCUUUUAAACCCUAAAAAUUGAAAACUCAAGUUUAUUAUUUAUCGUAAUAUAAUUAAAUUCCGACAAAGUUAAAUAAUGGGUUCAUUUGAUGGGUAAGUCGUGUAAAAUUUAUCAAUCAUUUUUCGCGUAAAAUUAAUAGUAGAAAUUUCCAAAUCUAAGCGAAUGUCAAAUUUGGUCCAACGCAUGAAAUAAAUUAAAACUCUGGAGAUGAUAACUUUCUAGAUAAUGUAAUUGAUUGUCCAAGUGAUUGAGCUUUUUAUAUAUGGAACUGCAAAUGUAAUUCCUCUGUCCCGCAUUUCGGUCCUUUUAUAGAAGGUUAGAUAUUAUAUUUUGAUGAACUAUUAUUUGAACUAAUUAAAUAAUGAUAUAAUUUUUAUUAUUUUAAUCGAGAUAUAAAUUAAAUAUUCUAAUUAAGCAAAUAUAGUAUUAUUUUUAUGUUUUCAUUGGCUUGAUUCUUGACCAAAUCAUCUUUCAGUACGCAUCCCUCAGUUGAUUACUGACAUGGCAUUAACCCUUCCCUGGUUGAGACGCAAGUAACAGGUACCUACUGGCGAUCGAGGUCGGUUGAAUUAUUUGAUGCAGUACAUCAUAAAAUUUUUUUACUAAAUUUGGUAUAGAUUAUAUCACAUUAACAUAAUUUUUUUAAUAAAAAUUUACUAAUGGUAUAUAAUUAAUAAUUCUUAAUUGACAUUUCUCUCUCCUACUUGUUUGCUUAUCCUUCCACCAUUUUUAUUUUAUUUUUUUCAUUUAUCUCUUACUUUGUGUUUUGUUUCAGCUUCUCAUAAACUCUUUCACUCCCAAUCUAUAAACAAAUAUUUUCAUGCAUUUGUCAUAGAAUUCCAGUUAAAUCAUAUAUUUUUGGUCCAACAGUACUUAUCGGAAAAAAAAUUAUUUCAACAAAAAAUCAUUGAUUUUUAUUUAAGCCCACAUUAAUUGAUCCACAUUUCCACACACAAGUAAAAUUAUACAACCUCGCAUACAAAAUGCAGCUUUUAAAGUUCAGAAGUUUCACUAUGCUCUGAUUUUACAAUCAUAAAGAUUGCAAAUAAUAUUUUUUUUUUAAUCAAAAAGGCAUAAAUGACAAAGCUUUUAUUAUAAUGAUCGGCCGAUGAAUCGCAUGUGCCAGAAGAGCCGAAGACAAACCCAGUAAAGCAGAAAAAACAAAAAAGUAUUAACUCAUAGGACAAGUUUAAUUAAUAAAAAUUAAUUAUAUUGAGUAAGAAAUAAGGAUCACUUAAAUUUUAUUUCUUCUUGUGUUUGGGGUAAAAGGAUUAUAUAUAGCUUUACUGAUGUAAUCAUCAUCAGGUAUGUGUAAUUUAUGAAGCUGCGUCCAUAACCGGAUCCACCAAGAAGUCACAUUUAAAUCGAACAGCUGUUUUUGUAUUCAAUCGAGAGAUUAUACAUUAGGCUUAGGGUUGCAGCACCUCAAUGGCGAGCUGAAAAUAAUAAAUUGUUGUUGACUUAGAAAUAUAAAAUGAAUUAGAAUGAUCGAGAUAAUCGGAUAUAACAGAUCAUAUUAUAAUAAAUACGAUCUGAUCCGAUGUAAUGGAGUUCGAUAAUAUCAAUACCGAUUGUGCGUAUAAGCCAAUAGCAGUUCUUGAUUUCUUGUAUUGUAUGAUUGUGUUGUAUCCAUUCGAUUCAAGCAUAAAAUAUAAAAAAUGAGACGGGUAUGAGUUGAGCAGUGCUGCAAAAGAAAAGAUGAUCGCCCACUCAGCCGCUUGGCAGUUUGCAUGCAGUCCAUGAGCAGCCAUUUUUCAUUCAGCUGCUCACCGUCCUUGGUCCUUAUUCCUAAUAUUUAUUACCCUAUCAACUAACUCUCUUGUAAUUUUUUUUUUUUUUUACAACAUCAAUGAUAUAAGUAACAUGUACUGUUGAAUCUAAUCAGCUGUACAAAUUAUUUCUAUUAAUAAUUUUUUUAAAAUAAUAGAACUAGUUAACAAUCGGUUCAAAAUGUGAUUUGAAAUUUAAAAAAAAAAGUAAAAAGAGAUAUGAUAAAAAUAAUAAUAUCUCGGGUUCUUUUAUUUAAAAUUAAACAAGUAUUACUUAUUUUAUAGCAUUUUGAUGUCGAAACAUAUGAACCGCUUUGAUUAUUUUAAUUGAUUUGAUAGUUAAUCCUUGUGACUUUGAGUCCUAUUAUCAAAUUGGGUUACUUUAAAAAAAAAAUGAAAGAGAAAGUGGUUGUGCAAGGGUUUAUCAAUGAUUAUUUUUUAGGUACUUAAACUUAUAUCUAAGGCUGAACCUUAUCUAAACUACUUGCUUUUGGUCGCCCGAGCACAGCCUGCCAACAAUUAUGGCGGUUGAAUUUGAAUGGAAGACUAGUAUUCUUUCCAAGCAGUGGACCUAAGAAAGGGCGAAGCAAGUGACUUUUACAAUUACUUUGCUUCUUCUGUUCAUUAAAAUACACUUUGCAUUUGACGUGUGGUUAUUUCAAGAUGAUUUGGUACCAAAACUUAUUUUUAAGUUAUGCCAAUUAAAUUCAAAAUAGCAAUAUUUAAUUGUUUUCAUUAUACCCCGGAAAUUCUUCUUUUGUUAAAUUAAAAUUAUGCAUAAUUUGAUUCUAUAAGAAUGUAGCCCGUAUAAUGGUCGACUUUUACCUAUCUAAUUCUUUGAAAUAUUUUAUAUUUGUAUGAAUAAUAUGAUCUUCCAGGGACUUUUAGUCGCUCAUGUGCUUUAUUUUGUUAUCCCUCGUAUAUUCUUUGGUUUCAUGAUUGUUGAUUUCAUGUAGAAGAUUUAUUUAUAUUUGUACAGGAAAGAUAGUUUUACUUUUCAAAUUAUCACAGGAGACUCUCUGCUUGUUAUUGACUUAUUAUUUCAUCAAUUGUGCUAGAUGAAGGAAAUGGAGUUCAAGAAGUUGUUCGAUACACAAAAUAUUGCUGCCUUGCUGCCUUUCGUAUUAAGAGGAAUCCGAUUCAGUGUGUUCUCCUUCCUCACUGCUCGUUGCCAGCUCUUGAAGUGCACCCAACAUUUACCGUACGAAAAGCGGUCUGCUGUACCGUACAUCCGCCUUGGCCGUACAGCAGAAUAAAAAUGAAAAUGAAAAUGGUGUUUUGCAAUUGCUGUAUUUCGAAUUUCAAUAUGUGUCUAGUAUCAUUUUCUGUAUCCUGUAUUUUAAAACUAAAAACUAAAAACAGUAAUAUGCGUUUGGUAGACACAGUUGAAAAUUAGGGGUGGGCAAUAGUCGGUUCGGCCGAGCCGAGCCGAACCGAACCAAAACCAAUCGGUUCUUUAGAAGAUGAACCGAAUAGGGACCGAAUUUAGGAACCGAACCGAACCGAACCGAAAUAUUUCGGUUCGGUUCGGUUCGGUUCCUAAAUUCGGUCCCUAUUCGGUUCAUCUUCUAAAGAACCGAUUGGUUUUGGUUCGGUUCGGCUCGGCUCGGCCGAACCGACUAUUGCCCACCCCUAAUUUUCAACUGUGUCUACCAAACGCAACUACGCACAGGAUCCUUCAACAACGUUCUUCCAAAGAUUGGUGUAGGUAACAAGUUCUGUGCUGCCACCCAACUUCGAAAAACUUCCCACACACACAUUCCCCCACACACACCCACACCCACACCUAGUAGCCCUGCUGUACGGCCAAGGCGGAUGUACGGUACAGCAGAUGACACACACACACACACACACAUAUAUAUAAAUCGGUCUCAAGUUAGUCUUGACUGUAAAAUCCAUUUUGUGGCGAAGUGCAAAGUAUGACAAGAGAUGACAAGGCAAAAGCAGCCAGCCAAUAUAACAAGAUAAUAAAUAAUAGUAUCACCACCAAUCUAGCGAGUUCACUUCGUUUAUCCUUAAUGAAGUCAAGCAUGACAAUGCCAAAAGAUAGUCAAUCAUAAUUAAAAUUCAAAACAAGUGAAAAAAAAUCAUCAUAAAACCUUGAAAAUCAUUGUAGACAAGGUUCCAUUAUCCAUAGCAACAAAAGUCAUGGCAACUAAUUAUAACCACUGAUCUCCAAAGGGCACCAUACACUAUCAUAAUUGAAGUAUUCUGCUGCUUGACUUACAACAUCAAGAACAUCAGGUCAAAAAGGGCCAGAAUCCUUUCAGCUUGUUAGUCUGCUACUGUCAUGAUGCAAACCACUCACUGGCAGGCAUCUGUUUUUAGAAAAAAAAAGACUUCGACCUGUAAUCAUCAAAUCGUAAUUUAGCAAUCAGCAAUUCAAAUCCGCUACAGGGUUGAGCAACCUUUUGCAAAUCAAAAAGUUUGCACUAAUUCACAUAAUACAACUAAUACUAAAAUGAAUCUAAAACUCAGAUCAGGAAGUGGUCAAAGCCAUUAAAGGAAUGGUCAGAGUGUAACAAGCUACCAGGUGUUAACAAUGGAGGGAAGUGGUACAGUGUGCUUGAAUAUGCAAAAACAAUCAGAGUCUACCAACUGCAAUGAACUGGAUGCAGUAGGAAAUGCAUUAGUUGCCACCGUUAAGAAGAUAACCGUUGCCCACAGACAACAACAGUGUUGGAUACAUCCUAAGAAGAAACAGGGUACCUUCACUUUAUCUCUUUUAAGAAGAUUAAACAGUUCAAUAUGGAGGUAUAACAGAAACAGUGGACUACACUGAAGAAGAUAUUCGAUUGAAAAUUAAGGAGUUGAUUAAAUCUUUAAGAUACUGAGACAGCAUAGUUUUUUAUGAAUGGAAACAAAAUAGUAGCCAUGUUGCAAGUUACAAAUUCAGCCUGGAAGCAGAAUUUUUUUUUGCGACAAGGAUGGCAUGAAGAUGACCGGCGUCGCACGAGCUUUCAAUCGGUACCAACCUUGGUCGGAGGAGUGGCCGGAAACGGAGACAAAAUCCGAGUUGGGUUCGUGGGUAUUGUGAUAAAGAGAGGGGUAUUGUGAUGUAUGUGCAAUAUAGAAUAAAAAUGUGUAAAUAGUAAAUAGUUUAAGGUGCUAAGUAAAAUGUUCAUAUGGAUGCAGUAGAAAUUAACUUAAUAUUUAUAAAGUAAAGAUUAAAUAAAAUUGAGUAAAAUGGGUUCUAUAAAAAUUUACAAUUGUGCUGACAAAAAGACAAAAAUAGUGGUACGGUACCACUGUGGUACCGUAGCUUGAUCCUCCUUAAAGUUUGAAUUAAUGAUAGAAUUACACAAAUAUUUUACUUUAGUGGGCUUAUUGAUGACAUGCGUAUCAUUUUUGUCAAUUUAUAGUUGUAAAUUUAUAUUUUUAAAAUGUAUUUUAAUCAUCAUUCCUACUUACCUCACAAAGUUGCUUUGUUUUCCCAAAAAAAGAAAAAGAAAAAAACCGUUUGAAAUAUUUUUUACGUGAUGCAUAAUUAUUGUGAGAAAAUAUAUACGAUGUUUGGGUGUUGUUUUACCAAUUUUCUAUCUAAAUAUGCAUAUGAAUAAACAUGUGAUUGACUUGUAAAAAUAAUGUGGUACUUUAAAUGUACAAAAUCGAUUAUGGAAUGCAAUUUAAUAUGCUCUAUAUUACUUUGAAGUUGGACACCGCGGUUAACUAACUACAAUAUGCACUAAAAAGGUGCUAUUGAAAUGAAUAUGUGAUUUUAAUCAUUUUAAAAUCUGAAAUUUGUGAUCUAAAACAUUUCGGGCAGAUGUUUAAUCGCAGCAGUUAUCUUUCACAAAUUAAAAAUUUUUACAUCAAAUUUUUUAGAGUAAUGAUACAGCCACAAACUCUUGUACAAACUUAUUUUGUACAAACUGACGUGGCAUGAUAAGAUUGGUUGAAUGAAAAUAUAAAUUAAUAAAAACAAAUCAUGUGGGCCAAGUGAUAUUUAAUUCAACCAAUCUUAUCAUGCCACAUCAGUUUGUACAAAAUAAAUUUGUACAAGAGUUUGUGGCUGUAUCAUUACUCAAUUUUUUAUUUUAUUUUAAGUGGUCGUCAAUUUAUCUUCCAUUCCUAGUUUUUUUUUUAAAUACCGAUAAUACACCAGAUUAUUGAAUUACAUUAGAUAUUUACAAUUGUUAUUACAAUAGAUAAUUAUAUUGAUAUUUAUAAUCAGACAUAUAAUUGGAGGUAUUAAAGUACCUUGUCCAGAUAAAUAACCCUCACAAACGAAGAAUAUUUCUACUCCAUUCUUAUUUCAUAAGGAAAAGAACUUACAAAUAAAUCUACACAAUUAUACAUAAUUCUUAAUUCUCAUUACCCUCAUUAUCUGUGAGGGUAAUGAGGGUAAAAGUUCACCGGUCCAGUGCUAUGCUAGUUAAGUGAUUGUGAUCUAACCAUUCGGGAAAUCUCAAUAGACCUUGUAUUUCGGUCGUUUUACAUUUUCCAUGACCAAUGGGCCAGCGCCACAAAAUAAAUUAAGAUUUAAAAUAACUAACAUAAAUGAUUAUUUAAUUUAAUAAUACUAGGGGAAAAAAAAGAGAGUAAACAAAUUCCAAGGACUUGACUUUUCUUUUUGAACAGUAUGCCAGGAAAAAAGUAACAAUUGCUAUGUCUCUCAUGUUUGCCACAAGGCAGACCACUCAAUUAGUUUCAUUACUUCCCUUUUUCUUGGUUUUGAUUAAAUAUAUAUAUAAUUACCAUUUAAUUUUAGAUCCGCCGUAAAAUUUUAUAACAUGGGUACAUUUAUGAUGACAAAAACAUUAAAAAAGAGGAAAAAAAACAUGAUCCAUAGCAUAUGCAUUUAUAAAUAUAAUUCAUAUUCAAACAAUGAGCCUCAUAAUUUAUUUGUUGCUAAUUAAACUAGCGGGAUACUAUAAUUUAUUAAUGCCAACGAAGCGACACAGUACAAAUAGACUUGCACUUGUGAGCUCCGUAGCUGAUGAUUGUCUUGGGUGCUUUGAUCCUGAAGUAGCCGUUCUUGUCCGUUUUGCCAACCACAUUGAGUGGAUACUUGGUGUUGUUGCACUGCAAUUUCAGAGUCGCCCCUGCAAUUGAACCCAUGGACAAUAUUAAAAGAAUAAAAAAAAAUUUAAAUACUAGGGACUUCAAAAAGAGAGCUUGAAAAAGGAAAAAGUAGCUAGCUAUGCUGCCAUAACCAUGCCUCCUACUGAAUGUGACAUAAACCUAGAACAAAGAGAAAGAAAGAGAUCAAGAGCACCUCUCUCUCUCUCCAUUCAAAAUCUGGAAAUGUAUACAUCACGCAUCCAUGAAAACAAAUGCACAUUCGCAUCCAUACGUAUGUUAUGUAUGCAUGAUAUCUAACUAAACAUACAUGUGAAAUUAAUUGAAGUAAUAAUGAUAGAAAAAAAUCAAGUAUGUAAGAGUUUGGAGCAGGGAAAAUUAAGUUGAAAGAUUUCGAAACUGACCUAGAACAGCGGUAGCUCCUAGGAGGGUAUCAGCUCCUGCGUACUUGCAAGACUUGCAAUAAACGACGCCUUGAACUUCAACAAGGCUCCUAGGGAAACGAUGGGUGGGUGUGGGUGGGUGAGCAGGAGCAACGUGUGGUGGAGGUGGGUGAGCAGGAGCAACGUGCGGUGGAGGUGGGUGAGCAGGAGCAACGUGUGAAGGUGGGUGAGCAGGUGCAUGAGCGGGAGUGUGAGCCGGUGCAUGAGCCGGCGGGUGGGGGUGGUGGUGAUGAUGGUGGUGGCUUGGGGCGUGAGCCGGUGGGGCAGUAGGAGGGUGGCUGUGGUGGUGGUG